CACGUAGGGGGCAAGCGUUGUCCGGAUUUAUUGGGCGUAAAGAGCUCGUAGGCGGUUCGGUAAGUCGGGGUGUGAAACCUCCAGGCUCAACCUGGAGACGCCACCCGAUACUGCUGUGACUAGAGUCCGGUAGGGGAGCGUGGAAUUCCUGGUGUAGCGGUGGAAUGCGCAGAUAUCAGGAGGAACACCGAUGGCGAAGGCAGGUCUCUGGGCCACUACUGACGCUGAGAAGCGAAAGCAUGGGGGAGCGAAACAGG
RNAcentral lists this ribosomal RNA (257 nucleotides) under uncultured bacterium. RNAcentral's name for it is "partial 16S ribosomal RNA". It matches the Rfam family "Bacterial small subunit ribosomal RNA", at positions 524 to 776 of the family's 1533-position model. The record is from RNAcentral.